UAAUCAGAAUACAAUUUGCUUAACUAAUAACAGAAUGCAGAGUUUUGGAGAUCCUUACAACUACAAAUUAAUUCAAAUAUAAUCAGUUGGAUGAAAUAAAUUCAGUUUCAGUCGGUUAAGCAAGAGCAGAAAAAACUUUCUAAAAUAACUGCUACUAUUACUAUGGAAGUUAAUAUUCAGAAUACACUGAAAAACGUUUAUUUUUCAGUGCACAUUUCGGCUUUAUACAAAUUUUGAAUGCUUGGAUCACAGAUCAAGCAGCCACAAAAAAAACAAUAUUUUUAUGAAUUUAUUAUCAUUUUGAAUUUGUUUGACAUUGGCAUUACUGUUACAUUGUGAUACUUUGUGAUUAAAAAAAAAAAUAGGCUUAAAAUAAAAAAAUAAUUGCCUGUCCAGAGCUCUGCAGAGUCGAGGGACAAAAAAUUUGAAAUUGCCUGAUAGGAAAGAGGCAAGCAAAUUGUAGUUUUUGCAAUUCCGUCGCGAAACUACUUUUUUUCUGUCAUUCUCGAACGACGAAUAAGCCUUCUUUUCUCUACCAAAAAUAACUGAAAUGGAUGCUGAAAAAUUGAACUUUUCAGCACUUAUUUUGGAAAGUAAUUCUUUUCAACAUUAUUUUGAUUAAAAGGGGGGAUUGACUAAACACAUGGACAUUUGACAAUUCCAUUCAAGGUUUUUUUUUUUAUUGCAAAAAAUGUUGUAUGCAAUUCAUUGCAAAACUCGUUUUUUCACAGCAUUCGUCGUAUUUAUACAUCGUGCUGAAAAAACCUUUUUUGCAAUUCCGUCGUGAAACUACUUACUUUUCCUGUCAUUCUUGAACGACGAAAUAGCCUACUUUUCUGUACCAAAAAUAACAGAAUCGAAUAGCAACACUUUUCAAAAUAAAUGCUGAAAAGUUCUACUUUUCAGCACUGAAAUGGGUGCUGAAAAGUUGAACUUUUCAGCACUUGUUUCGAAAAGUAACACUUUUCAAAAAAAAAUUGAUUUAAACGAUUUAUUGACAAAAUACAUGAAAAUUCGACUUAAAAUUUCACUCAAUGGGUGUUUUUCGAAAUUGCAAAAAAUGUUGUAUGGAACUCGUUGCAAAACUUGAUUUUUUCAGCACUCGUCGUAUUUAUCCAACUCGGUGAACCUCGUUGGAUAAAUGUACGACUCGUGCUGAAAAAAUCCUCUUUUUGCAACUUGUUGCAUAAACUACUAUUUUGCAAUUCCGUCGUGAAUCUUUUAUAUGCUUUUCCUGCCAUUCUUAAACGACAAAACGGCCUACUUUUCGUUACCAAAAAUAUCAGAAUGGAAAAUGAAUACCUGCAAAUACCAAUAAGCGUUUUUCGGGAUUGCAAAAAAAAAAAAAAAAUGUUCUAAGCAACUCGUUGCAAAACUUGUUUUUUUUAGGAGUCGUCGUAUUUAUCCAACUCGGUAUAAAUACUCGUUGGAUAAAUGUACGACUCGUGCUGAAAAAAUCUUCUUUUUGCAACUUGCUGCACAAACUACUUUUUUUGCGUAAACUACUAUUAUGCAACAAGUUGUAAAAAGAAAAUUGAGAUUGGUUUACCGAGUUGGAUAAAUGCGACGAAUGCUAUAAAAAAAUUGCAACAAGAGUCUUACAACAUUUUCUGCAAUUCCGAAAAAAGUGUUAAGUGAAUUCACUGUUCAAAACUAAAAAUAUUAAAAAAAAAAAUGUUUCACAUCUAUACUAGUGCUGUUCAACUUUUCAGCACGGUUAUGGAAAGGUGUUAAUUUUCCAUUCUUUUAUUUUUGGAAGAGAAAAGUGAGGGUAAUAUUUUAGCUUUAAGUAUUUUUUUUUAGCUUUUCUCUUUUAUGGAAUAUCUGCAAAUAAAAAAAAUCAAAAAUUUUAACCUUGAAAUGUCUGAAAAAUUAGAAAAAAAAACUGAUGACUCAAAAUGACUGGAAAAAGUUCUACAAAGUUAUGCAAUUAUGAACCUAACAAUAAAAAAGAGACUGGUGAAAAGUUUAUUUCAGUUAUUUAGGAACGAAUAAAAAAAACCCCAAUCAAUCAAAUUUGUGUUUUCCAAGAAUUAGCUCCAACAAAUUGGAAUCUGAGCAAAAAAAAAAUCAAUGCCCAAUUAUUUCAUUCAGCCUAAAGGCGA
Long non-coding RNA from Culex pipiens pallens (northern house mosquito), 2105 nucleotides. RefSeq lists it as uncharacterized. Lineage: Eukaryota; Metazoa; Arthropoda; Insecta; Diptera; Culicidae. The record is from RefSeq and is a predicted model, not a curated record. The transcript is spliced from 2 exons.